UCAACAUGGUUUCACAAAUGCAGGUUCUCCUGUCCCUGAUGCUCUGGGCGUCUGGUGCCUGUGCAGAUAUUGUGAUGACCCAGUCUCCAUCCUCCUUGGCUGUAUCAGCAGGAGAGAAGGUCACCAUCAGCUGCAAGUCCAGUCAGAGUCUUUUAUACGGUGGCAAGAACUACUUGGCUUGGUACCAGCAGAAACUAGGGCAGGCUCCUAAACUACUGAUCUACUGGGCAUCCACCCGGUACACUGGGGUCCCUGAUCGCUUCACAGGCAGUGGAUCUGGGACAGAUUUCACUCUCACCAUCAGCAGUGUUCAGUCUGAAGAUCUGGCAGAUUACUACUGUCAGCAGUACCACAGUUGCUUGUCAUUUGGGUCUGGAAAUCAAAUUCAGUUAUGA
This is a non-coding RNA of Alexandromys fortis (reed vole), 395 nucleotides long. The record is from the annotation of a RefSeq genome assembly. NCBI's taxonomy places the organism in Eukaryota, Metazoa, Chordata, Mammalia, Rodentia, Cricetidae.